Molecule: ribosomal RNA, 609 nt
Filed under: uncultured bacterium
Lineage: Bacteria
Description: bacterial SSU rRNA
Rfam family: Bacterial small subunit ribosomal RNA
Source: RNAcentral
UUGGUGGGGUAACGGCUCACCAAGGCCACGAUGUCUAGGGGUUCUGAGAGGAAGGUCCCCCACACUGGAACUGAGACACGGUCCAGACUCCUACGGGAGGCAGCAGUGAGGAAUAUUGGACAAUGGUCGGAAGACUGAUCCAGCCAUGCCGCGUGAAGGUUACGGUCCUAUGGAUUUUAAACUUCUUUUGUAUGGAAGCAAUAAGGUGCACGCGUGCAUCGAUGAGAGUACCAUACGAAUAAGCAUCGGCUAACUCCGUGCCAGCAGCCGCGGUAAUACGGAGGAUGCAAGCGUUAUCCGGAUUUAUUGGGUUUAAAGGGUGCGUAGGCGGAUUAAUAAGUCAGCGGUGAAACUCACAGGCUCAACCUAUGCCGUGCCGUUGAAACUGUUUAUCUUGAAUGCGGAUGCUGUGGGAGGAAUGUGUAGUGUAGCGGUGAAAUGCAUAGAUAUUACACAGAACACCGAUUGCGAAGGCAUCUCACAAAGCCGUGAUUGACGCUGAGGCACGAAAGUGUGGGGAUCAAACAGGAUUAGAUACCCUGGUAGUCCACUACUGUAAACGAUGAUAACUCGCUGCCGGCGAUAUAUAGUCGGUGGCCCAGCGAAAGC